Long non-coding RNA from Tachyglossus aculeatus (Australian echidna), 256 nucleotides. RefSeq lists it as uncharacterized. Lineage: Eukaryota; Metazoa; Chordata; Mammalia; Monotremata; Tachyglossidae. The transcript is spliced from 3 exons. The record is from RefSeq and is a predicted model, not a curated record.
GUCAUUAUUUAUGCUGUGGAAUUUGGUAUCAUUGGUGUCAUCCUCCUGAUUUUCUGCGUUGUCCAGCGAGUGACAAAGAAAACUCAAACAUAAAAGAUGCUUUAAUAUCCAAGGAAGAGCUCAGCUAAGAUAAUGAGGCUGAUUCUGUUGGAAACUGGAAGACUGACUGGAAAACUACGAUGGAGGUGGGCGUUCCGGGAGAGACGCGUCCAUGGAGUCGCUGGGGGUUGAAAACGACUCGACAACGUAAGACAAG